Schistocerca cancellata (South American locust) is the source of this 1016-nucleotide long non-coding RNA. RefSeq lists it as uncharacterized. Lineage: Eukaryota; Metazoa; Arthropoda; Insecta; Orthoptera; Acrididae. The transcript is spliced from 3 exons. The record is from RefSeq and is a predicted model, not a curated record.
CAGUCAGCUGUUGUGUUCGUCACUUGCACUGGUACGAUAGCUGGAUGGCAGCUUCGGCAUUCGUAACUGAUACGAUCGGUGCAUUCGUUACGUUUUUGAUAAAGAGGGAAUAUGAACAUGAAAUAAACGCGAGUGAACUUGUGCGGAGGAGGAAGUGGUUGUUCAAAAGGCGAUGUCUCCGCAUAUUAUCAACACAAUAUAUUCCACCAAAAACGUAUAUUUUGCACCCACCGAGAUCGCGCAGUGUGUGGAAGAAAGUGCGAAGUGAUCACUGGUGGAACGUAAUUCUAUUGCAUCAUUUUGGGGGAUCCGAGUGGCUUAAAAAUUUCUGCAUGAGGAAAGAAACAUUCCAAUAGCUUUGCUUCGAAUCAUCGAGUACAUUAUCACGCGCUGCGGAUUUUGUUCGUGAACCACUGCCACUAGAGAAGAGAGUGGCAAUAGCUCUUUAUAUAUUGGCAAGCUGUACAGAGUACAGAGCAGUUGCAAAUCAGUAUGGAGUGCAUGAAAGCUUUGUGCACGAGUGCUUGUAUUCGUUUAUUUAGGUUGUGAAUACUGCUUUGCUGACAAAAAUUAUGAAAAUGGCAGAUGCUGAGGAAGCAGAGAGAAUCAGUAGUGAGUUCUCCGAUAUGACAGGCUUCCCCCAGAUCGUAGGAGCAAUCGAUGGCACUCACAUUCCUGUGUUAGCUCCUCAGGGUGGAUAAUCAGAUUUUGUGAACAGGAAGGGAUGAUCAUCACAUGUUCUUCAGGCAUUUGUUGACUGUCAUAAUUGGUAGAUGAAUUUUUAGGAUCCUCAGUAUCAGCCAUACCGGAAAUGUUCAUGAAGCAUCAGUACUGAAGGAUUCACAGCUGUAUAAAAUGGCCAAUAGGCUGAUGCCAGAAGUACCAUGCACAAUCAAUGGGACUGUUGUGCCAAAAUUUUUGCUCGGAGAUGCAGCAUAUCCCCUACUGCCGUUCCCCACGAAACUGUACACAGGGACUGUAUCACCCGAAGAAGAAAGUUUUGGUGUUUGUUUGAG